ACCAGGGAUUCCCUAGUAGCGGCGAGCGAAGCGGGAAGAGCUCAAAUUUAUAAUCUGGCACCUUCGGUGUCCGAGUUGUAAUCUCUAGAAAUGUUUUCCGCGUUGGACCGCACACAAGUCUGUUGGAAUACAGCGGCAUAGUGGUGAGACCCCCGUAUAUGGUGCGGACGCCCAGCGCUUUGUGAUACAUUUUCGAAGAGUCGAGUUGUUUGGGAAUGCAGCUCAAAUUGGGUGGUAAAUUCCAUCUAAAGCUAAAUAUUGGCGAGAGACCGAUAGCGAACAAGUACCGUGAGGGAAAGAUGAAAAGCACUUUGGAAAGAGAGUUAACAGUACGUGAAAUUGUUGGAAGGGAAACGCUUGAAGUCAGACUUGCUUGCCGAGCAAUCGGUUUGCAGGCCAGCAUCAGUUUUCCGGGAUGGAUAAUGGUAGAGAGAAGGUAGCAGUUUCGGCUGUGUUAUAGCUCUCUGCUGGAUACAUCUUGGGGGACUGAGGAACGCAGUGUGCCUUUUGGCGGGGGUUUCGACCUCUUCACACUUAGGAUGCUGGUGGAAUGGCUUUAAACGACCCGUCUUGAAMMMCSGGACACAA
RNAcentral lists this ribosomal RNA (588 nucleotides) under Rhodotorula mucilaginosa. Its description in RNAcentral is "partial large subunit ribosomal RNA". It matches the Rfam family "Eukaryotic large subunit ribosomal RNA", at positions 67 to 664 of the family's 3401-position model. The record is from RNAcentral. Lineage: Eukaryota; Fungi; Basidiomycota; Microbotryomycetes; Sporidiobolales; Sporidiobolaceae.